Molecule: non-coding RNA, 30 nt
Filed under: Rattus norvegicus (Norway rat)
Lineage: Eukaryota; Metazoa; Chordata; Mammalia; Rodentia; Muridae
Source: RNAcentral
UCCCAAAGUGAACAUACUUAAUGCACUGUC